CCUUCCGUCCAUUUGCUCCCUUCUCCUCCUCCUUUUACUUUCCCCUUGUGCUGUUCUCAUACACUAGGCAUAUUUUAAAAAUAUUUACACCCCUGACUUACUUGGUCAGUAAGAGUUACAAUGGUAGUACUAAGAGGGAAAGAAAGUAAAGUCCCGAUUCGAUAAAAAACCUGAUUUUUCAUGAGACAACAUCCCCAGUUUCAGCGUUUAGUAGAUAGCGAAUGGGAUGGUUGAAAGUUGAGGGUAAUUGUUUGCUAAACAUGAUCGCUAAAAGGAGCACGGUAUGCGUGUUUCCACAAUUCAUGAAGUUCCCCUGACUGUAGCGGUUUCCCUUGUUUUUACCAAUAUCUAUUUCUGGUAACUAUGAUUUCGCAAAAAUGAUUUCACAAG
RNAcentral lists this unclassified non-coding RNA (390 nucleotides) under Schizosaccharomyces pombe (fission yeast). Its description in RNAcentral is "non-coding RNA (predicted)". Lineage: Eukaryota; Fungi; Ascomycota; Schizosaccharomycetes; Schizosaccharomycetales; Schizosaccharomycetaceae. The record is from RNAcentral.